UGGUUUUGUCUGUGUGAAUUGAAUGAUAUGGCCAGCUGAAUUCACCAAUGUCUGGAAAUGCUCAGUCAAAAUAUUUGAGUCAUUUCAUUUUUGCUGCAUCCAAGUUAUAGAUUCAUUAGGGCCCGGUAGCUAUGGUCCUCCAUAAAAUAAUUUUAACGUAACUGAAGUUUAUUCAUAGGUUAGUAAAUGCAACUAGAUACUCUUUAUACACUCUUGCAAGCCGGGUGUGGUAGCACAUGUCUAUAAUCCCAGUGACUAGGGAGGCCAAGGCAGGAGGAUUGCAAGUUCAGGGUCAACCUCAGCAACUUCAAAGUAAAAAAAAGGGCUGGGGAUGUGGCUCAGUGAUUAAGCAGCCCUGGUUCAGUCCCCAAACACACACGCAAGCACUUAAGAGGACUGGGGAAACAGCUCAGUAGUUGGGCACUUGCCUAGUUUUUAAGAGAGAAUCUUACAUCCUGAUUUUUGUCUUGGAGGGAAAGUUGCAAGUAAGAGGUUCUUUUGCUCCUAACCAAACAUAACUGUUUUUCAGGUAUCUCAAAUGGGGAUUACUUUUCCAAAGCAAGUGAGAAAGUUUUUCUCCCAACCAUCUUGUCCAUAUGAGAGCUUCCGCAUCGCUUGCUGCCUAGACAAAUGUCUUGGGGAGGCCCUAGCAAUGUAUAUGAGUUAAGUCUCCACAAUGUUCUCAACUGCCAUUAUCCCAUGGCCAAGAGACAAAGUCUUGAAGAGCCUAUUAUGCCAUGUCUCACAAGAGAACUUCUCUGCUGUCAGGGCCCCAGAUCUCUUGUCUAGAAAUAGUUAAGCACAUUUUUAAUUGAAAUUGGUAUUGUUCCAGAACCAACUUGUUGCAGCGUGAAAGAAUUUCUUCACUUAGAUUCUGAUCAGUAUCACAUACCAAAAUGUGAGUAAAGGGCUACUUUAAAGAGCACCAAGGCAAGGAGAAGGACAGGGACCUGGGGCUGCUCUUGAAGACUCCCAGCUUCCUGAGAAGGGGUAAAUCUUGACAUUUAUCUUUCCCUUCUCCAAGUCCAAGAUGAUACAUGGGUGACAGGAAAUUUUGUAGUACCAACCUCUGCCUCAUGAAGGUAGCAAAAAAAAAUGGACUUAUCGCUGGUAAUUCCAUAUUUCCAUGGAAAAUCUAUUAGAUAUUACUUUUCUUUCCAGAGUGUCAUGAAAAGUCAGAGGUUAGAUUAAAGACAAGAACCGUUCUAUCCAGUCAGGGCCCUGCCCAGCUGGCGUCAGAAAGUGGUAAGAAUGUCCUUUGGCUGAAAACAAAAGAGGAGGGUGAAAAAGGAAACAGAAGCACGCCUCGCUUCAUACUGCUCGCCUCCUCUGGAAUUCAAUGCCUCAUGCUUUUCCUUCCCCCAGGAUUCCACAUUGAGAGUUUAAAAAUGCAUCUGUCAAUUAUUAAGUAAGUAGUUUGGGCAAAGUCCCAGUGCUAGGGGCAAUGGAGGACACAGAGGCCUGUGAUAAAUAUCCCUGUCCUCCGUGGCCCUUAUUAUCCACUGAGAAACAGAUUUAAAAACUGAGUGUUGGAGCCAGGCUCAGUGGCAGACACCUGUAAUUCCAGAGACUCAGAAGGCUGAGGCACAAGUUCAAGGCCAGCCUAGGCAUCUCAACAUAAAAAAAUAGAAAGGACUACAGAUGUUGCUCAGUGGAUUUAGCCCCUGGCUUUAGUACCCAAAACAGAAACCAGAGUAUUGGAGAAGUUGCAUGUAAUCACAUGCAAGACAGUCACUGAAAAAGGAUGCUCACUGAAGCUCUGAGAAACUUGCUGUGAUUACUUCCUGCUUGUAGGAAGCAGCAUAUGCCAGGACAUAUUGAAACUAAGCACCGUCGGGUCAAGAGGUAAAUCUCCUGUUUUGUUGGGGAAUCACUGAAGACAUCAUGAAAGAGUGGUAUUUAGUCUUUUUUUUUUUUUUUCCUUUUUGUGUGUGUGUGCUGGUGAUUGAACCCAAGGCCUUGUGCACGGAGGCAAGCACUCUACCAACCUGAGCUAUAUCCCCACCCCUUGAGUUAGUCUUCUAAGUUCUAAGGAUAGUGAGGACCUUGGGAGGCAGGAUGGUAGAAUGGGAAUAAUUCUAUCCCUGUUGCUUAUUAGCUGUGGGACCCUGGGCAGGAUACUUAAUUUUCAGUUUUCUUGUUUUGUUUAAUUGUGUUUUCAGUGCUGGGAAUGAAACCCAGAGCUAUAUAAAGCCUUACACUCUUUUUUUUUUUUUUUUUUUUUUGAGACAGGGUAUCAUUAAGUUGCUGAGGGCCAAAGUUGAAGCUGGCUUUCUGGCUUUGAACUUGGCAAACCUUUUAUCUCAAGACUCCUGAGCCACUGGGAUUACAGACAUGUACCACUGUGUGUGGCCCCUUACUCAUCAUGCUCUUAUCUCUAAAAUGAGAAAUGAUACAUGUGGAAGUAUUAAAUUUAGUACAGUUUUCUGGCAUGGUAAUUAUUUAGUAUGUGGCAGCUAUUAUUGUUAGAGUCUUGAGAGGUUAUUUUACAGAUUAGCAAUAACAUGGGCAAAAUCGAAGAGUUAGUAAAGGCAUCUCUCCCAAACCUUUCUCCCAGACACCAAUCCUGUAUCUCAAAUUAGAAACCCUGAAGAUCAGUUGGUAGAGUGCUUGCCUUACGUGCACAAGGCCCUGGGUUCAGUCCCCAGCACCACCAAAAUAAAAUAAAUAAAUAAAAAUUUUAAAAAGCCUCUUUCUCUCCCCCUGAUUCUAAAAACUCACUGCUAGAUUCUCAGAAAUGUCUCUUGAAUUUGUCACCUCCCUUGCAUCCCCACCACCUUGGUGCAUCAUCUCUGCUCAGCUGUGGCAACAGCCUUCUAUCUGGUCUUCCUGCCACCAGGGCAGGACAGUCAGUUGGCAGUAGAUAAAGCCAGAGCUCUAUAGGGGACCAAGGUAUGGAUGAUGUCUUCAACUUUCAUCUGCCUAUGCUGGCAAGUGACAAAGGACAAAAACCUUUUCUGACCCAAGUUUCUUAAGAUUUCUUGCCUUAACAUCCUAAUCCUUUCACCCCGAGCCCAAGCCACAUAGUCCCAAUUCUUUUGCAACCUCCUCUGCUGUGCACAUUUGUGCUUCUGUGGCAGCUGCAAUCUGUGUCUGUUAUCUUCCACUGAAGUCUUGUGCUGGAGGAGUCAAGCUGAGAGACAGGGAUAUUUAUAAAUGGAAAGUGGGUGUAAAGUUCUGCAGUUACAAAUGUUUUAAAUAAGGCUAAUUUCACCUCUUCCCCCAUUUAAGCUUUGAAAUUCCUGUCCACCCCCUCAUCUCCCAUCUUUCCCCAAAGCCUGUAAGUUCCUGUCCUAUCUUUGGUCAGAGCCACAAUCCUGAAUACCAUGGGGGCUAAAAGAUGUAACACGAAAUGAAGUGGGAAAUUCAUAAAUUCAGCAUCCAGAGACAAUGAUAGAGAAUAAAUGCAUAGAGAGUAAAUGCUAUUGAGAUACUACCUGAGAAUAAAAUACUUGCUAAUGGCCCACUGUAUGCCUCUCCUGUAUUUCCCUUAGCUCCAACCCAUAAAACAGCCAUAUAAACAAAAUAUCACCCCCAUUUUAGUGGUAGGGAAAUGAAGCUCAGAAGGGUUGACUCAUUUGCCCAAGAUGUAAAUGGCAAAGCCAGAACUUAGACAUGGUCCCCAAAUUUGUAAAAUUUCUAACAUGCCAUGCACAUGCAUUGAGUUUUAGGAGUUUUUCUAUAUAAUUAGGAGAAUUGAUUUUAAUGAAGAGUUAAUAUGAAACCAUGAGAGAGAACACAUGAUUUUAUUGUAACAGUGAAAUGGUCAACAUUGUAUGGUACUGUUGCAUACUCAAGCCCAAUCAAACUGGCUUAAUUAUUUAACAAAAGGAAUUUGCUGGCUCAAAUAACCAAUGGUCAGUGGUUAAUCCAGUGGUUCAAACAAGGGCAUCAGGACUCUCAUUUUCUGCAUCCCUUGGGUCUUCCCAUCUCUAUUGGGGUUUCCCCAUCCAGACAGGCAUUUUCCACGUGGCAAGAAGAUGUCAACUGGCAACUGCACUAAUGGCUUCUUAGAGCUUGUAAUUCCAGAGAAAGAACAAAUAUCUCCUUGAAGUGCUCCAGGAAAAUUCCUUAGGAGGACUCUGGCUUGAAACCCACACCCAUCUGUAAACCAUUUGGUGUGCCUGGGAGAUGAACUAGUCUAGUACCCUGCUGCCAGGCCUGAGUCACAGAUCCAUUCUGAAGGGGCUAAGCAGCCCCUCUAGAACAAUACAUAUUGAGCUGGACUGUUUUCUAACAGGAAGGGCAUGGCUCCUCGAAGGAAAAUUCCCUGGACAGUGUCAUUUUACCCUGUCCAAAAAAAACCCAACUUGAUUAGAGGGGAAAGAAAACAGUUUACCAAGAAUAUGUAGGGAACACAUGAGAAUCCAUGAACUAAAAUUGGCACGAGAGUUGAUAUACUUGGAACCUUCUAUACACAGGAUACUCGGUCACCCCAUGAGGCAGGUAAUAGCCCUAUUUUCCAAAUGAGGAAAACUGAAGUUCAGAUUCAGUCAGUUUGCUAGUAAGUGCCAGAGCUGGAAUCCAAACCUGGAUGUUGGACUCCAAAUCCUUGGAGCUUUGUAUCUCAGCACACUGCCCAUGCGGGAGGAGCCAGACGUGGAGGUUGAAACUGAUAGAUGAGCCCUUGGAAGCCAUAUCCCUGUGGGAAGACGGCUCUGAAAGCUCUAAGGGCAGCGCCGCACCACACUGGGAAACCGCCCAUGCCUUGGCCACUGCAGUCUUGCACAGCUACCAGCUGGGCAACUGACAAACUUCACAUGUGUCAAUGACAGUUUCUUCACAGUGGGACAAAAACACUACCAAAGCCUGCUCCCCCUAUCCUUGCUUCUGAUCAAGGGAAGAAUCACCUGGUGUCUUCAGGAAGGCAGGAAUCACAGGAGAAAGCUGGAUUGAGAGGGAAGGACAUGUUGGGUAUAGAAUGAAUGGAUGGUUGAAUAAAUAAAAACCCUAGAAAAAUGAAUUAAGAACAAGAAAAGAUCUCAAGUUUAGAGAGACUAGAUAGGAAAAUGGCACAUGGAAACUAAGAAAUUAAGACACCCUGUUGGCAGAAAAUGUGGAAAAAAAGGAUACAGUUGAAGAAACCAGUGUAGCCCUGUAGAGUUUCUGACAAGCUCAGAAUUUAAAAAGCAGGGGCAUAACAGAUGGGAGGAAAGGUAAGGUCCUUGAAGGCUUGGAAUUGGUGCAAAGACUGCUGAUUAUAUUCAGAGCAAGAGAAGUAAGAGAGGACAGAGUUCCACUUAGGAAUGAGUUUGGUUGGCAGUUAUCAAGGUAAGCAAAAUACUCAGCCCUUUUUUUCAUUUUUCCCCAAGGAAAAACAUUGCUAAGCUGAAAAGAAUUAAAAUGUGGUUUAAAGAGGAAACUGAAACCUCGAAUAGAAGAGAUAAGAGAAAACCUGGACUAGGGGUGUAGCUCAGAGGUAGAGCCCUUGCCUAGCAUACACAAGGCCCUGGGUUCCACCCAGCUGGAGUUGGCUGAGGACCUAAGCACCUAGCCCUUCAAAAUGAGCAGCAAAUCCUGAGGUGUUGAUAAUUCUUUAGAGAUAACAUCCAGGAAUCCUUGUGAGUGAGUUGAGAAAGCCAGAGUGAAAAGGAAAGGGGCCAUAACUCUGACUAACUGCAAAUGUCCUGACAUCCAGGAUAAAAAGGUAGAUUCUCAAGUCUCUUGCCAGGUACAUUUGAGGAGAAUCCCCCCCUCCCCCAGAAUUAUUCUAGAAUACAAUAUCAAACUAAGGGUUUGAGAAGACCUAGAAAAAGAAGUAGUGCUUUCACAAAGAGCAAGAUAUGGUGAAAAUACUGCCAAUGAUUAUUGUUUAGAAUUUAUUAUUUUCUGUGUUGCUGAAAACAGCAGGAUGUAAUUUAAAAGAAACAAGUGGAAAGACCUGUAUUUUUUUUAAAUCUAGGAGAAUUCCUUGGACCACAGUUCCUUGUUUCCAAGUAACAUUGAAUUCCUCAUGAUUGAUGGGACAGCUAGACAAUGAGCUCAGAGAUUGCCCAGUCGGGUGGAUUUAUAGCCUGUUUGACUGUUAUGCCCCUGUACUACAGUGGGCUGUUCAGUCAGUACAGAUCUUAGGUUCAUGCUCCUAGUCUCUUGUUUGGUCAGUUCCCUCAUCAUCAAUGGCCUUCACACUCACCAUGUUUGUACACAGUGUCACUGUUAGGGGGAAAAGCUAAUAUUUGAAUGUCAGAAUCAAGCUUCUAAAAUAACUUAAAACUGUGGGCUGAAACCAGCAGGAUGAAAUUUAAAAGAAAUAAGUGGAAAGACCUGCAUUUAGAUUUUUUUUUAAAAUCAGCUGCACAAGCCCAGGAUGAAAGAAAUUUGGCUUGACAGUGUUGCAUGCAAAAAUGACUUCAGGUUGAAUAGAAACCCUAGGAACAGAGCAGCUGUUUUAACAGAUAGUGCUUCUCCCCACCCCUUUUUAUUUUGAGUAUAAAGGGGGAAAACAGUGAAAAUAAGUCUUCCAUAAUCACUCCCCUUCCCAAGAGGCAACUGCUGUUAACAGUUUCUAGUAGAUCCUUCUAGAGGAAUCUAUACAUAUGAGCAUUUUUCUUGUUCAUAUAAAUGCUUGCAUAUUAUACACCUUGGUAUUUUUUCCACCUAACAGUGUUUCUUAGAGAUUAUCUCAUUUCAGGGUAUAAAGUGAUUCUUCAUGCUUUUAUAAAAGAUGCAUAAUAUGCUAUUGUAUAUAUGUAUCAUAAUUUAUAUAAUUGGCCCUCUAUGGCUAGAUGCAAAGGCUGUUUUCAGUAUUUUACUAUUACAGACAAUGCUGCAAUGAAUGACAUGUCUUUUUGCUAUUACAAACAGUUGCUAUUAAAAGCAAUGCUAAAAUUAGUAACAUGUAAUUUUAAACACAUGGGCAUGUAUCUGAAGGACAUCUUUGAAUCACUAAAUUGAAGGACAUACACAUUUUUCAAUUCAAUAGGUGUCGUACAAUUGCCCAAUCGCGUCAGUUAACCACUAAUGACUGUUUCUGUGCAUCCUCUCCAGUAGAAUGUGUUAUAAAUCUUACUCAUCUUUGAAAAUUGGUGAGGUGAAAAAAUAAUAAUAAUGAUAUUGUAAUUUUCUUAUUCUGACAGUUAUUUUCUUCUUCUUUUUUAAACCUUUAUUAAUUUAUUUGUGUGUGGUGCUGAUGAUCAAACCCAGCGCCUCGCAUGUGGUAGGUGAGUCCUCUACUGCUGAGCCACAACCCCAGACCCUCUUUUUUUUUUUUUUUUAAAUUAAAUGUAUCUUGUACCAUUUUUCUAUUGAGUUGUCUUUUUUAGUUAGAGCUCUUUAUAUAUUAAAAAAAAAUUGCAGUUUGUGGUAUGAGUUACAGAUAUGUUUUCCAUGUUGUAGUUUGUCUUCUAUUUGUUUCUGGCAAUUUUUUUCUGGGGGCGGUGCUGGGGAUUGAAUUCAAAGGCACCCAGCCACUAAACCACAUCCCCAACCCUAUUUUUUCUAUUUUAUUUACAGACAGGGUCUCACUGAGUUGCUUAGUGCCUCGCUUUUGCUGAGGAUGGCUUUGAACUCAUGAUCCUCCUGCCUCAGCCUACUGAGCCUCUGAGAUUACAGGCAUGCGCCACUACACCCAGCUAUUUCUGGCAAUUUUAUCAUGUAAAUAUAUUCUCCUUUUAAGUAGUAGUUAAAUUAAUCCAUUAAUUUUUUAUGAUUUCUGUUUUAUGUCAUAAUUUAAGAUCCUUUCUUAUUUUAUUUAUAUAUUUAUUUUAUUUUAUAUAUGUUUUGAAUACCAGGGAUAGAAUUCAGGGGUGAUCUACCUCUGAGCUACAUCCACAGCCCUUUUAUUUGUUUUAUUUUGAGAUGGUGUCUCACUUAGUUUCUGAGGGUCUUGCCAAGCUGCUGAGGCAGGUCUUGAACUUGUAAUGCUUCUGCCUCAGCCUUGAGUUGCUGGGAUUGCAGGCGUGCGUAUUCUAAAAUGCUUUUUAAAUUGCCUGAUUUCUUUUGUUGUUGUUUCAUUUUUAUAUUAAAUAUUUGAUCCAUCUCUUCAGAAUUUGUUUUGGAUAAGGUGUGAUGUAUGGAUCCAACUUUGUUUUUUUCCAGAUGGCUAUUUCAUUGUCCCUAUAUAAUCUAUUAAGUCAUUUAUCUUUAUUCCUCUCUGACUUUUACUAAUUCCAGUAUGUAUUUGGAUCUGAUACUAUAUUUUAUUUUCUGUUCGAUUGAUCCACUUCUUUUGAUACAUUUGAAUGAAUUAUAGUUUUUAUUGAUACUUAAAUUAAUUUUCAAAUGAAAGUGAUAAAUACACAUUCAAAGUUCAAAGUCUGGGAAAUAUAAAAAGUUACACAGAGCCAGGCACAGUGGCAAACACCUGUAAUUCCAGCUACUUGGAAGGCUGAAGCAGGAGGAUGGCAAGUUUAAGCCCAGCCUCAGCAACUUAGCAAAACUAUGUCUCAAAAUGAAAUUUUUAAGAAAGGGGCUGAGGAUGUAGCUCAGUUACCACUCAGAGUUCUUGCCUAGCAUGCAUAAGGUCCUGGGUUUGAACUCCAUUACCACAAGAAAAAAAAUUGUACAGAGAAAAAUAAAUAUUUUCUUGAAAGGGAUUAAGGUAGUUCUCACAGGUGGCUCUUGAGAAAACAAGUUAUAAUGAAAGAGCUGGACCCCUGAAUGACUCUCUGGCUUCCUAUUUCUGAUGUGAUCACUUACUCCCACCAUUGUGAUACCCUGUACCAUGAGGUCUUCACCAGAGCUGACCUGAUGCUGAUAUCACAUACCCUUUAGCUAAACUAUGAGCUAAAAUAAGCCUCUUGGGUGGGGUUGUAUCUCAGUGGUUGUAGCUCAUCUAGCAUGUUUGAGGUACUGGGUUUGAUUCUCAGCACCCCAUGAAAAUAAAUAAAAUAAAUCAAUGAAAGUUAUUUUAAAU
RNAcentral lists this long non-coding RNA (8854 nucleotides) under Marmota monax (woodchuck). The record is from RNAcentral. Lineage: Eukaryota; Metazoa; Chordata; Mammalia; Rodentia; Sciuridae.